UCGAGGAUCUUCGGCAAUGGGCGCAAGCCUGACCGAGCGACGCCGCGUGUGCGAUGAAGGCCUUCGGGUUGUAAAGCACUGUCGAGGGGGAGGAAGCCGCAAGGUUGACCUAUCCCUGGAGGAAGCACGGGCUAAGUUCGUGCCAGCAGCCGCGGUAAGACGAACCGUGCGAACGUUGUUCGGAAUCACUGGGCUUAAAGGGCGCGUAGGCGGGUCAUCAAGUCCGGGGUGAAAUCCUCCAGCUUAACUGGAGAAUAGCCUUGGAUACUGGUGGUCUCGAGCGAGGUAGGGGCAGCUGGAACUUCCGGUGGAGCGGUGAAAUGCGUUGAUAUCGGAAGGAACGCCGGUGGCGAAAGCGAGCUGCUGGACCUCUUCUGACGCUGAGGCGCGAAAGCCAGGGGAGCAAACGGGAUUAGAUACCCCCGUAGUCC
RNAcentral lists this ribosomal RNA (431 nucleotides) under uncultured bacterium. RNAcentral describes it as "bacterial SSU rRNA". It matches the Rfam family "Bacterial small subunit ribosomal RNA", at positions 355 to 796 of the family's 1533-position model. The record is from RNAcentral.